UCUCCUUCAGAAGAAUCGGGUUGUUAUUGGAGGACCAGGAAGCUUUUAUUGGCAAGGUCAGCUGAUCUCAGAUGACAUCACUGAGGUCAUCAGCAGAUACAGUAAGGAGUUUUUUACUCCUUACAGUAACCAGUUAUCAACCAAGUCAGCCGGGGCUCAGUAUGAUGACAGUUAUUUGGGUUACUCUGUGGCCAUUGGUGAUUUUAACGAUGAUGGUGAAGAUGGUAAGAUAUUUAAUCAUUUUGAU
Sinocyclocheilus rhinocerous is the source of this 247-nucleotide long non-coding RNA. RefSeq lists it as uncharacterized. The transcript is spliced from 3 exons. The record is from RefSeq and is a predicted model, not a curated record. Lineage: Eukaryota; Metazoa; Chordata; Actinopteri; Cypriniformes; Cyprinidae.